ACAGCAGCAGCCACGGUAAUACGUAGGGUGCAAGCGUUAAUCGGAAUUACUGGGCGUAAAGCGUGCGCAGGCGGUUAUAUAAGACAGAUGUGAAAUCCCCGGGCUCAACCUGGGAACUGCAUUUGUGACUGUAUAGCUAGAGUACGGCAGAGGGGGAUGGAAUUCCGCGUGUAGCAGUGAAAUGCGUAGAUAUGCGGAGGAACACCGAUGGCGAAGGCAAUCCCCUGGGCCUGUACUGACGCUCAUGCACGAAAGCGUGGGGAGCAAACAGGAUUAGAUACCCCAGUAGUCCCUGUCUCUUAUAC
RNAcentral lists this ribosomal RNA (305 nucleotides) under uncultured bacterium. RNAcentral's name for it is "partial 16S ribosomal RNA". It matches the Rfam family "Bacterial small subunit ribosomal RNA", at positions 505 to 807 of the family's 1533-position model. The record is from RNAcentral.